AUGCCCGAAAGGUAUAAAAUUUCGCCAACUUCUUUGUUCUUGUUAUUUUUUAAAUGCAUACAUAUAGAUAGCUUAUUUGCAUUGUUCUACAUACUUUGUAGUGUCAACGAUGAUGCAUACAUGUCAACUAUGGGCGUUGGCUCCAACAAUUCGCAUUGGUCUCAAACCAAUGACAUGCAUUUUGAAGACCAUGAGUUCGAGGUGGACGAGGAUGGUGAGGGCAUUGUCGACGCACCGAAGGGAAGAGCGGGCAACUACACCAACGACGAAGAUGACGUGCUAUGCAAAACUUGGUUGGACGUGUCGAGGGAUCCGUCCGUUGCAGGUGAUCAAAGUAGAGAUGCUUAUUGA
Molecule: ribosomal RNA, 351 nt
Filed under: Triticum aestivum (bread wheat)
Lineage: Eukaryota; Viridiplantae; Streptophyta; Magnoliopsida; Poales; Poaceae
Description: partial small subunit ribosomal RNA
Source: RNAcentral